CCCUUAGAUGUUCUGGGCCGCACGCGUGCUACACUGAGUAAUUCAAUGGGUAAGGGAACGCUAGAGCAUUACCUAAUCUUGAAAUUUGCUCGUGAUGGGGAUCGACGGUUGCAAUUUUCCGUCGUGAACGAGGAAUACCUUGUAGGCGCAUGUCAUCAUCAUGCGCUGAAUACGUCCCUGCCCUUUGUACACACCGCCCGUCGCUCCUACCGAUUGAGUGAUCCGGUGAGGCUCUGGGACCUGGACGGAAAGAGCGUUUCGCUUGUUCUGUUUGGGAAACUUGGUCGAACCUUAUCAUUUAGAGGAAGGAGAAGUCGUAACA
Molecule: ribosomal RNA, 322 nt
Filed under: uncultured eukaryote
Lineage: Eukaryota
Description: partial 18S ribosomal RNA
Rfam family: Eukaryotic small subunit ribosomal RNA
Source: RNAcentral